ACGGCCUCUCUCCCAGUGCGACUCGGACGCCGCGACGGUGAAGCAGAGAUGCGCUUGUGGUGUGUGUUGACAGCAGUGGCGGCGAUUGUGUUCGCGCUGAUAACCUCGAACAGGGCUGCCAACGUUGUGACUGUGCGAGGUUAUCGACAGACGACUACGACGCCGGCGCUGAAUUCGACGACUCCGAAAAUAUCGCAGAUCAUCAAUGUAAGACCGAGGAUUCCCACCUGCCCAGAUGGUCAGAAAUUCCUGAUGGGGAAGUGCCGCGUAGUCAUCAGGAACAGCGCCAAGCCAAGGCGGUAGAACCUACAUGGAGUUUGGAGAUGUGCUGUUAGAUAUAUAAUCCGUAAACUUCAUGGAAAAUUAAUUUACGUAGCUUUUAAGAUAACUAUGUAACGCUGUCAUUAGUCUUUGUCGAUGUUUUAAUAAAUACUAACAGAAACACA
This 446-nucleotide unclassified non-coding RNA is filed under the name Schistocerca americana (American grasshopper). RNAcentral's name for it is "uncharacterized LOC124606725, transcript variant X3". Lineage: Eukaryota; Metazoa; Arthropoda; Insecta; Orthoptera; Acrididae. The record is from RNAcentral.